This is a long non-coding RNA of Onychostruthus taczanowskii (white-rumped snowfinch), 1401 nucleotides long. RefSeq lists it as uncharacterized. The transcript has 2 exons. The record is from RefSeq and is a predicted model, not a curated record. Lineage: Eukaryota; Metazoa; Chordata; Aves; Passeriformes; Passeridae.
GGCGGCGCGGCGGAACUGGGGCGCCCCAGGACGCGCCGGCGGCGGAGGGACGCGCAGGCCGCCGGGGAAAAGAGCGGGCCGCCGCCGCCGCCGAGGAAGAAGAAGAAUUCUGUCAAUAUAACUCAUUCCUGUACUGGAGAGCACCACUGCCUGCUAUUGAUUUGUCUGAUAUUCAGAACCUAGAUGAAGAGACUCCAUCGGGUGCUAAAACUGCUGCAAGGACUGAUACCGCAGAGACCGAAAUGGAAACCUGAUCAGUUGUUUCAUAGCUGUGCAUCUGUUCCCAGAGAACUUGUUUCCGUUGAGAUUCGGGUUUCGUUCCUUGGGUGAAUAAUAAGCAUGCUUAUGCAGUCUUGGAAAGACUGUUGUGGCAGUCUUUGAAAGCAAAUCUGAGUUGCCUUAGUGGAUGGGAUAAAUGAUAUUGGGUAUGUAACAGGAAGCUGUCUGAAGGUGUGCAGUAAGGAGGAGCCAGCAGUGUCUAACAAGAGUACUUGAAGACAUGGAGGCAUACUAAAAGAAGAAUUUAGAAAAUUAGAACUUCGGGAUGCAAUUAAAGGAAAUGGGGAUCUAUUACAUGUCAAAAGGAAAUGUAGAAUUAUUUUGUCUGUCCUGAAGAAAAAAAUGUGUGGUACCUGAAAUAUUUAACGUGAAUUUUUCAUAAAGCACACAAACUCUAUGAUUCCUAAUGUGUUGGGGUUUUUUUUCUGUAUAAUAGCUAAACCAAAAAAGUCCAUCAAAAUCGGACAAAACAUUCCCUUUUCUAUGCAAACCAAAAACCAAGUGUGGCAGAGAAGAGGAAGGAAAAGGGGCUACUUUCUGCUGAAAGCUGCUGCUGUUCUGAAAGGUUUCACAUUUUCAUUGUGAAAAAGUUUUUUCACCUUCUCUUUUUCACAUUACAGACAGCAGUGGGCACCCAUUUUUUUAUGUUUUUGGUUCAUUCUAAAGUUACUGCUAUUCUUAGUCUUUGUGAUGUUGCUCUGAACCAGUUGAUAGGAUCUGAAUGACAGGUUUGGGCAGAUAUGUCAAGAAAAGUUAGUGCAAUAUAAAAUGACCACACACACUCUUUCAAACUAUAGUGAAUGAGGUGUAGUUUUUGCAGAGACUGUGAAUCUUGCAGAAAGUUUUUGCAGAAGUUCAUUCAUAUAGUGUUUUUUUGCUGUGAAAUAUGAACUUAAUGUUUGUGAUUUGCAAUUUAUUUACAAAUUGAAGUACAAUUAGAUGUCUUUAAUAAUAGACUGAAGUUGUAUGGAAGGACUUACAUUUUGGAAUACAACGUGUCUUUAAGGAUAGAAAACAUAUUUUUUCUGUAAUCACUAUGGAAAAAGGCAACUUUUGAAUUUUAUUUUUUUCUAAUAAUGUGUUUGUUAAAGGACAAUAAAGUUUUGCCUGUGUGUAUGUGAA